GUGUUCACUUCAGUAGCACACACACUAAAACUGAAAUAAUACAGAUUAACAUGAUCCCUGAGCAAGGAUAACAUGCAAAUUUAUAAAGCAUUUCAUAAUUUU
Molecule: small nuclear RNA, 102 nt
Organism: Dipodomys ordii (Ord's kangaroo rat)
Lineage: Eukaryota; Metazoa; Chordata; Mammalia; Rodentia; Heteromyidae
Source: Ensembl